This 484-nucleotide ribosomal RNA is filed under the name Fusarium oxysporum f. sp. lycopersici. RNAcentral describes it as "eukaryotic LSU rRNA". The stretch from base 129 to 282 matches the Rfam family "5.8S ribosomal RNA". Lineage: Eukaryota; Fungi; Ascomycota; Sordariomycetes; Hypocreales; Nectriaceae. The record is from RNAcentral.
ACCCCUGUGACAUACCACUUGUUGCCUCGGCGGAUCAGCCCGCUCCCGGUAAAACGGGACGGCCCGCCAGAGGACCCCUAAACUCUGUUUCUAUAUGUAACUUCUGAGUAAAACCAUAAAUAAAUCAAAACUUUCAACAACGGAUCUCUUGGUUCUGGCAUCGAUGAAGAACGCAGCAAAAUGCGAUAAGUAAUGUGAAUUGCAGAAUUCAGUGAAUCAUCGAAUCUUUGAACGCACAUUGCGCCCGCCAGUAUUCUGGCGGGCAUGCCUGUUCGAGCGUCAUUUCAACCCUCAAGCACAGCUUGGUGUUGGGACUCGCGUUAAUUCGCGUUCCUCAAAUUGAUUGGCGGUCACGUCGAGCUUCCAUAGCGUAGUAGUAAAACCCUCGUUACUGGUAAUCGUCGCGGCCACGCCGUUAAACCCCAACUUCUGAAUGUUGACCUCGGAUCAGGUAGGAAUACCCGCUGAACUUAAGCAUAUCAUA